AGGCAAUGACUUUCUCAGUAGGAAUCCUAAAGCUUGGGAGAAAAUGCCAAGAGUUAAUAAAUGGGAUGACAUCAAGUUAAAAAGCUAUUGCACUAAAGAGGAAACAGUAAUGUGAAAGAGAACCCACAGAAUGAGAGAAAAUCUUGGGUAGCUACUCCUCUGACAGAAGAUUAAUAUAUAGAUUAUAUAAAGAACUCAAAAAGCAUGAGGAAACCAAAUAACUCAAUUAGUAGCUGGGCAAAUGAACUAAACACACACUCCUCAAAAGAAGAAAUUACAAAUGGCCAAAAAAUAUAUGAAAAACCUUCAACAUAUUUAGUGACUAGGAAAAUAUAAGUCAAAACUACACUGAGGUUUCCUCUCAUUCCAGUUAGAAAGUCAGUCAUCAAGAAAACAAAAAAUAAUAAUAAAUGCUGGAGAUGAUAUGGAGAAAAAAGGACAUUUUUACACUGCUGAUGGGAUUGUAAAUGAGUACAACCACUAUGGAAAUCAGUACAGAGUUUCUUCAAAAUACUAGACAUGAAACCACCAUGUGACCAGCUACACCACUCCUUUGCAUACCCAUGUUUAUAGCAGCACAAUUCACAAUAGCCCAACUAUGGUCCAGCCCAAAUGUCCACUGGUAGAUGAAUGGAUAAAGAAAUGUGGCAUAUAAGCAAAAUGGAGUUUUAUUCAGCCAUAAAGAAGAAUGAGAUUAUGAUUUUUUUUCAGGAAAAUGGAUGAAACUUGAGAUUAUGUUAAGCAAAACAAGCC
Molecule: long non-coding RNA, 753 nt
Filed under: Marmota monax (woodchuck)
Lineage: Eukaryota; Metazoa; Chordata; Mammalia; Rodentia; Sciuridae
Source: RNAcentral